Molecule: long non-coding RNA, 527 nt
Filed under: Panax ginseng (ginseng)
Lineage: Eukaryota; Viridiplantae; Streptophyta; Magnoliopsida; Apiales; Araliaceae
Description: long non-coding RNA (PGIN_LNC012976)
Source: RNAcentral
GGGCAUUCUUUUAUGCGGGUCCUUUGCCAUUAUAAGUUGUGGGUUUAGGUCGCGCCACUUAAUCUAGCUCAUAUGGUUUGGCCUAGUCAACCCUUGAUGCCAGUCUCUUGUCUGGCGUGGGGCAUACGGUGGAGAUCACUUAACGUCCCGACCCAUGUUUGGUACCUCAUCCUAACAUUGCCCCUCUCUCCCUUAGCUAGCUUAUUUUAAUGAGGUGAUGAAGUAGUUGUGUUCUUGCAUGUUGCCCCCUCUCGGGCCUUUAGCUUGUGCUUGGGCUAAAUGCCUUGGAGACGACCGUUAAGGCUUGUAUCCUAUUCGGAUCUAUACCUUAUUGAUUUGAAGUUUAAGGUUUUAUGUCCUCUUCGGGCUUUUACUUUACGCUUUGGACAAUUUUGAAGGCUUAUGCCCUCGAUUGUUCUUUAAAGUUUUGGCGUUUAAGGCUACUACCCGAUUUGGGCUUGGAACUUAUUCCUUUCUUAGGUUUUUGUCCUCCUUGCUCUUUUACCUUAUAUCUUAAAUUAUGUGUC